Molecule: long non-coding RNA, 1794 nt
Organism: Populus trichocarpa (black cottonwood)
Lineage: Eukaryota; Viridiplantae; Streptophyta; Magnoliopsida; Malpighiales; Salicaceae
Exons: 2
Source: RefSeq, a predicted model, not a curated record
CAGGGCCCCAUAUAUAGAUUAAUUACUAUAGUUAUGCUUAGCACUCUUUUUUAGGUUCAUGGAGGAUGAUAGUACUUGCAUAUUGAAGGAGUGAGAGGUGGAUAAAAGUGAUAAGGGUGGUAGGGGAGAGAAUUUGGAAGAACUCGCUUCCUUGUCUGCAUGGUGGUGGCGUGGGCAUGAUAAUAUUCAUUUUGUCUUCGCUUUGGACCACUGCCAUCUGUUUUCUUCCUAAUUUAUUACUAUAUCCUCAUAAUAUAAGCUUUUCAGUCUCCUUAUUAUAAUCAAAAAGAUUAAAUAAGCUAAUCACACUAACACCAAGAGACGAGGCAUUCUUGUCUAGGCCCUUGGCCGCUAUAUAUAUCCUUCUCUUCCUCUCUUCCCUAGCAGCAACCCCAUAUGCAGAGAGAACUCAAAACUAGUUACAUUUACAUCUCUCUACCUCCCUCUGCCCCCCUCUCUCCCUGUCUCCCCAGAUCGCUGGAUAUUGAUCCGUUGAUCAUCUCUCGUGCACCACUAGCAGUUGAAGCUGCCAGCAUGAUCUAAAUUAACCUCCUUCUUUAUCAAGGAUGGAUUAGAUCAUGUGGUAGUUUCACCUGCUGAUGGCAUCACGAAAAAACCCUAGCUACUUCUCAUUCUAAAUCCUACUUUAAGUCUCAAAUUGUUGCUUGUUAAAUACACAAUCAUUGGUGGGUGUUAGAUGUUGUAGAUGGUAAGGUUAUUUUAGAGAUUUUUCAUAAAGAAAACAAGGAAUCAAAUCUUGUUUGCAUUCGAUGAAGAAAAUAUACUUUAAUUUGUUGUAUAUAGUCCAGCCCGUUGGUGGUGAUACUGCUCCCGCAUCAAUCUGGGCCUGCUCCCCUGGACAAGAGUAUCCUCCAUGCUAAAGGACCAAAACGACGCAAAUAUGGACGUUUGAAUUGGAGCUUACAAGAAAGCGGUGCGUUUUGGCUUAAUCUUAACACUUUACCAUGUCUGAAGUUGAAGCUAGCUUGCCAUGAUCAGUCAUCAAUUUGCUACAUGGUGCUCUCUACCGCGCUGCGUUUUUUAAGUUCAAUAUUUUUAGAUAAAUUUAUGAAACUAAGUCCUUUCGCUAUUAUUCUAAAAACGCACAUUUUAUAUGUAUUUGAUGCAUUCAAAAGAAUUAAUAAAUUUUCUUGGAUGUUAUCUCUCAAUUUGAAAGCAUAAACCAAAAAACAUCAAGGAAUUGAACAAGUUUUACUUAAUCACCUGACUCAACAGUUUUUGCAAAUACUUAAAGAUUUUUUUUUCCAUGCAUAUAUAGGUAAAAUAAUGAACAACAAUCAAAUCUCAUCUUCUCAAUAACGCUGGCCAACCCUGUUUCUAAAAAAUUCAAAAAACAAAUUAGCUAAAUAUUAAUAUAUAUUUUUUUAUAUUUUGGAUCGUUUUGAUGUAUUGAUCUAAAAAAUAAUUUUUAAAAAAUAAAAAAAUAUCAUUUUGAUAUAUUUCGGAAUGAAAAGCACUUUGAAAAACAACCACAACCACACCCCAAACAAACCCAAAUGCUUUCCCCGUGUUCUUAGUUCUUAAUUCUUAAUGAUUUUUCCUUUUCUAUUCUAUUCUAUCAGUACCAAAAUUUGAUUGUAAUUACUGAGAUUUUUAAACUUUCUAUUCUAUUCUAUCAGUACCAAAAUUUGAUUGUAAUUACUGGGAUUUUUAAACUUUCUAUUCUAUUCUAUCAGUACCAAAAUUUGAUGCAGGUUAAUAAUUUGGAGGGAUAGAUUGCACUGUUGCUUGAUCUGGUCCAAUAAAGCUCAAUGGGAGUUGAUGAUUCUCUAA